This 24-nucleotide non-coding RNA is filed under the name Arabidopsis thaliana (thale cress). Lineage: Eukaryota; Viridiplantae; Streptophyta; Magnoliopsida; Brassicales; Brassicaceae. The record is from RNAcentral.
GGGAUACGUGCGAAUUCAGCGAUU